UACGUAGGGGGCAAGCGUUAUCCGGAAUUACUGGGCGUAAAGAGUGCGUAGGUGGUUUUACAAGCCUUGGGUGAAAGGCUACAGCUCAACUGUAGUAAGCCUUGGGAACUGUAAGACUUGAGUGCAGGAGAGGAGAGCGGAAUUCCUAGUGUAGCGGUGAAAUGCGUAGAUAUUAGGAGGAACACCAGUGGCGAAGGCGGCUCUCUGGACUGUAACUGACGCUGAGGCAC
Molecule: ribosomal RNA, 230 nt
Filed under: uncultured microorganism
Description: partial 16S ribosomal RNA
Rfam family: Bacterial small subunit ribosomal RNA
Source: RNAcentral